ACUCAAAUGAAUUGACGGGGGCCCGCACAAGCGGCGGAGCAUGCGGAUUAAUUCGAUGCAACGCGAAGAACCUUACCAAGGCUUGACAUACACCGGAAACGGCUAGAGAUAGUCGCCCCGCAAGGUCGGUGUACAGGUGGUGCAUGGUUGUCGUCAGCUCGUGUCGUGAGAUGUUGGGUUAAGUCCCGCAACGAGCGCAACCCUCGUUCUAUGUUGCCAGCACAUAAUGGUGGGAACUCAUAGGAGACUGCCGGGGUCAACUCGGAGGAAGGUGGGGAUGACGUCAAAUCAUCAUGCCCCUUAUGUCUUGGGCUUCACGCAUGCUACAAUGGCCGGCACAAAGGGCAGCGAUACCGUAAGGUGGAGCGAAUCCCAAAAAACCGGUCUCAGUUCGGAUUGAGGUCUGCAACUCGACCUCAUGAAGUCGGAGUCGCUAGUAAUCGCAGAUCAGCAACGCUGCGGUGAAUACGUUCUCGGGCCUUGCACACACCGCCCGU
RNAcentral lists this ribosomal RNA (497 nucleotides) under uncultured bacterium. Its description in RNAcentral is "partial 16S ribosomal RNA". It matches the Rfam family "Bacterial small subunit ribosomal RNA", at positions 899 to 1397 of the family's 1533-position model. The record is from RNAcentral.